Molecule: ribosomal RNA, 765 nt
Filed under: Triticum aestivum (bread wheat)
Lineage: Eukaryota; Viridiplantae; Streptophyta; Magnoliopsida; Poales; Poaceae
Description: partial small subunit ribosomal RNA
Source: RNAcentral
AUGGAUGAAUUGGCAAGAAAACAAAGGCAACUAAUUGUGAGAGGAGCCGGUCUAGUGGCUGGAUUGUAUGCUUACAUGAUGGUCAUAUUUAGAAGAUCUAGGCAACAAACACCAAGGAUAACCGUGGGCAGCAUGGCCGAUCGUGCCAUAUCUAGAGAGUCAAAUUUGAGAUACAUUUAUCACUCUAGUGACAUAAAUUGUUCAAAUCAACUCAGAAUGAGAAAAGCUCCAUUUUUCCGUUUGUGUGCUAUAUUUAGAGAGAGAAAUUUGUUGUUGGAUAGCAUACAUACUUCUAUCGAGGAACAAGUUGCCAUGUUUCUUUAUGUAGUUGGCCAUAACCAAAGGUAUAGGACACUACAACCUAUCUUCGGAAGAUCUAUCGAAGUCAUUAGUAGGUAUUUCAAGGCAGUGCUUUAUGCUGUUGGGGAGUUGAGAGAUGAGAUGAUUCGACCUCCCUCCAACCAUUGCCAUCGUAAAAUACAAGAAAGCACCCGCUUCAAUCCAUAUUUUAAGGAUUGUGUUGGAGCAAUAGAUGGGACUCAUUUGCUUGCUAGAGUCCCAAAAAGUAUCUCAGCUGCCUUUAGGGGUAGAAAGGAGGGGACUACCCAAAAUGUGAUGGCCGCGGUAGACUUUGAUCUAAAGUUUACCUAUGUACUUGCGGGUUGGGAGGGGUCAGCUCAUGAUGCCCUUAUACUUGCAAAUGCACUGGAGAGGGAAGAUGGGUUGAAAGUUCCUACAGGUAAUAAAUUAGAGCCUACUACCUAA